Molecule: ribosomal RNA, 497 nt
Filed under: uncultured bacterium
Lineage: Bacteria
Description: partial 16S ribosomal RNA
Rfam family: Bacterial small subunit ribosomal RNA
Source: RNAcentral
GAUGAACGCUGGCGGCGUGCCUAAUACAUGCAAGUCGAGCGAACGGACGAGAAGCUUGCUUCUCUGAUAUUAGCGGCGGACGGGUGAGUAACACGUGGAUAACCUACCUAUAAGACUGGGAUAACUUCGGGAAACCGUAGCUAAUACCGGAUAAUAUUUUGAACCGCAUGGUUCAAAAGUGAAAGACGGUCUUGCUGUCACUUAUAGAUGGAUCCGCGCUGCAUUAGCUAGUUGGUAAGGUAACGGCUUACCAAGGCAACGAUGCAUAGCCGACCUGAGAGGGUGAUCGGACACACUGGAACUGAGACACGGUCCAGACUCCUACGGGAGGCAGCAGUAGGGAAUCUUCCGCAAUGGGCGAAAGCCUGACGGAGCAACGCCGCGUGAGUGAUGAAGGUCUUCGGAUCGUAAAACUCUGUUAUUAGGGAAGAACAUAUGUGUAAGUAACUGUGCACAUCUUGACGGUACCUAAUCAGAAAGCCACGGCUAACUACGUG